GAUGAACGCUGGCGGCGUGCCUAAUACAUGCAAGUCGAGCGAACAGAUAAGGAGCUUGCUCCUUUGACGUUAGCGGCGGACGGGUGAGUAACACGUGGGUAACCUACCUAUAAGACUGGAAUAACUCCGGGAAACCGGGGCUAAUGCCGGAUAACAUUUAGAACCGCAUGGUUCUAAAGUGAAAGAUGGUUUUGCUAUCACUUAUAGAUGGACCCGCGCCGUAUUAGCUAGUUGGUAAGGUAACGGCUUACCAAGGCAACGAUACGUAGCCGACCUGAGAGGGGGACCGGCCAAACUGGAACGGGGACACGGCCCAGACCCCUAGGGGAGGCAGCAGUAGGGAAUCUUCCGCAAUGGGCGAAAGCCUAACGGAGCAACGCCGGGGGAGUGAUGAAGGUCUUCGGAUCGUAAAACUCUGUUAUUAGGGAAGAAAAAAUGUGUAAGUAACUGUGCACGUCUUGACGGUACCUAAUCAAAAAGCCACGGCUAACUACGU
Molecule: ribosomal RNA, 496 nt
Filed under: uncultured bacterium
Lineage: Bacteria
Description: partial 16S ribosomal RNA
Rfam family: Bacterial small subunit ribosomal RNA
Source: RNAcentral